This 26-nucleotide non-coding RNA is filed under the name Homo sapiens (human). The record is from RNAcentral. Lineage: Eukaryota; Metazoa; Chordata; Mammalia; Primates; Hominidae.
UGGUAUCCCCCAAGAGCAGAUGGAGU